RNAcentral lists this ribosomal RNA (253 nucleotides) under uncultured bacterium. Its description in RNAcentral is "partial 16S ribosomal RNA". It matches the Rfam family "Bacterial small subunit ribosomal RNA", at positions 524 to 776 of the family's 1533-position model. The record is from RNAcentral.
UACGAAGGGGGCUAGCGUUGUUCGGAAUUACUGGGCGUAAAGCGCGCGUAGGCGGUUUUGUAAGUCGGGUGUGAAAUCCCCAGGCUCAACCUGGGAACUGCAUUCGAGACUGCAUAGCUAGAGUAUGGGAGAGGGAAGUGGAAUUCCUGGUGUAGCGGUGAAAUGCGCAGAUAUCAGGAGGAACACCGGUGGCGAAGGCGGGUCUCUGGGCCGAUACUGACGCUGAGGAGCGAAAGCGUGGGGAGCGAACAGG